Non-coding RNA from Leptonychotes weddellii (Weddell seal), 3572 nucleotides. NCBI's taxonomy places the organism in Eukaryota, Metazoa, Chordata, Mammalia, Carnivora, Phocidae. The record is from RefSeq and is a predicted model, not a curated record.
GAAUAAUACCUAUCGACUGACAUGUCAUCUAUGGACCCCCGGGCCCACAGUCGCACCGUUCCUCCACGUCCGCGGCUGAGCAAAGGAGCUGCACGCACGCGCAAGAAAGGAGGUCGGAGGAGUGAGACUGAGGAAACGAAGUGAGAGCGGCGAACAGCGACGAUUCUGCGCAUGUUCAAGGCGCGGAGGUUGGUAGGAGUUUGCGCAUGAGCAGAAGUGUCGGGAAAGCUGGAGAAGGGUUCGGAGGCGGUAUUGACAGCUGUGGAGGCAGCCCGCGUUCCCGGCAUGCCCCGGGGCGGCGGGGUUGGCUCUAACGAAUUUGAAUGAGGAGCCUCAGCGCUUUCGGCGCCAUUUUCGAGUGAUGCCUGAUCUCAUCAAUCUACUGGGAGAGACGGGAUAACCUGUCCGAGAUUAUAGCGCUAUUAGGACUCCGCUGAAAAAUCACUAAAAAAAUCGCCAAAAAUUACUUCGAGCAAAGGGCAGUCUGUGGGGCUUCGCCAGGGUUGGCGCAGACGUCUUUGAAACAUGUCGCAAGGAUAAAAGCAAUCUGUGAAACUAUUGAUGUUUUCCUCCCGAAAAGUCUUAGCCCGGACAACUUAACGGUUUUGACCUUUAGGAGAGAGCCAAUUCUGGAGAACAACCUAACUUCUUUGAUUGAACACUCACAUAAUGCAUUGGAACAUGAUAGGAGAUUAAGGUUUAAUAAUGAUAAAAUGAAGACCAUAAUAAAACAGUCCCCCUACUUAGCCCAGCAAUUCUUACCUUUCUUACCUACUUGAUGAAGAGGUCUUUUGAAAGGUGUACUGCAAGGAAUGCAAUGCUGUCUGUAAAUUAACACUUUUACCAAGAAACUCUAAAAGUAUUUCAGAUGUAAAUUAAAGAAUUGUAUUUGAGGAUCUUCUGUUUAAAUUCUAAUCUGAAGGUAAAGAAAAUAUAUAAGAUAAAGCUUUCAUUUUUAAGAACAGUUUUUCCCCCAAAUAAGGAAGCAGCAUACCAUAUAUAUGGUAUUAGUAUUAAAUGCCAGCAUUUACAUGGAAAUAAGUAUUGCCUUGGUGCUUUGAAAAAUCAUUCAUCAAGCUCUUAACCUGUUUUCCUUUAUUUCAACUCUUUUGUGAAAGACUGUAACAAAUAAAUGAUGAUUUUUAAUUCCACUAAAAGUAUUCCAGGAUUUAACAUCUAAAUGCUUAGAAAUAUUUAUUGAAUAAAUUACAAAGUUUGUGCAGUAUUUUCCAGAACAACUCAGGAAUUAGAUUUCCUUUUUCUGUUUUUUGUUUUCCUAAGUACAUUUUGACUUAAUUUUAGAAAAUUAUAUUUAGUCUAAUCUGCUUUCUAAAUGACAGAGAGAAAACCUGGAUUUUACAUUUACUAGGUGAAUCUUUAUAUCUGGAUGCUCCAGAUGUGAAGAAGGAAUAUUUGGGGCUAUUACAGCUAAAGGAAAACUUUCUUCUUUUAAUCCUGAGAAUGGAUUAAAGAAAAAUUGAAAUAUUGGCGAAGUGAGAAACUAUAGAAAAACUGUUAUAUUGAAAUUUAUCGUAACAGCAUACAGCUUCUUUCCAGUCUCUUACUAAAGAAGAGGAAAUGGCCUAUCAGUACCUAAUGAAACACACAUUUUAGGUAAUUCAGUGGAACUGGGAAGUUUUAUUUGUAUGAGUUAAUACACUUCCAUCUUUGUGUAAUUUUGAACACAUAAAGCGCAAAUAGUAAAAUAAAAGUUAUACCCUUUAUAACCUAAAUUUGGCUAUUUUACAAAGAAAAAUAAGUAUGGGUGUGUAUUAAAUUUUCAUUUUUCCAUCUUCUUUGGAAAAUAUCCUCAUUUUUUUCAUUCAGUCUCUUUUUAAGUUGAUGCCAAAUAAUUUCAAUAUUGAGCAUCUUAAAUCUUUUACUUGGAAUAUGGAUUGAGUUUGGAGCUAAUUCAGAGGACUCAGGCAAGUAUCCAGGAGGCAGCAAGAGGAAUAUUUUAAUAGUUGAAUAACUCAGUUUAUAUCCUAUAUUUAAAUGGAGAUCUCCUAAGAUCACACAUACAGAUAUGUGAUGGUAGAUACGAAAAUUUGGCCUUAGACUAAAUUCUGUACUCAACCCUAAAGGUUUUCUUCAAUCAAUUAUAUAUCCUUUUGAUUGUUACAGAAUUACAUGUUGUUUGUAAGCCACUAAGUAUCAUUAUGGAUACAUGCCCAGGUUAGCCAUAAUUGGAUAAGCAAGAUUAUACUUUCAUAAACUGUGAUCUCUAAGUUAAUUAUUUAUUUAUUUAGAAGUUGACAUUCUAAAUCAAUUUUUUUUCCUUUUGCAGGUGGAUAUUACUAUCCCUUAUUCAUCGAAAAAGUUUUAAUUCUAAGUGUUUUUUCUCAUUGAGUAUUAACAAAAAGGAGAAAAACUAAUGUCCCAAACUUUUGAGAUAGAUUUGGCUCUAGUAAGUAUUUAGACAUAUUAUUUGCAUAUCUAGGAGAAGAAAUGAGACCAUCAUCAUUUCCAGCUAAAAUUAUUUUUUUUACCUCUGUCAAAGGAUUUCUUGCAAUUUCUGUCUUAUUACUAAUAACUUGAGCCCCUUUAAUGCAGAACUAACUCACCAGAAAUGUGAGUGUGUAUGUUCUUGCCUUGUUUGUUUAAAAAUAUAUCUCACAGAUUUCUGAUGUCUUUUUUUUUUUGAGCUAUAUACAAUGAAGAAAAUAUUGACAAAAUAAAUAAGUUUAUACCUUUUAUGUUAAAGUUACUGUGCAAGGUGACAAGUUAGUUGCUUUUUUUUUGCUUUAUUAUUACUGAAAUUAAAUUCAACAUUUAUAAUUUCUAUUUGGGUCUAUUUCUUGAUUACUAAUACAUGGAAUUCAUGCAAAAACUUUAUGAGUAAAAUACUUAAAUUAGCGUAUCAAUGAUUAUAGGUCCCCCUUAAUUCUGUGAAACUUUGAAUAAUAUAUUUAUUGUAUUCUUGUGAUUGAACUUUUGUGUUUUGAAGAAAUAUAAACUACCUGGAAAAUGUUGUUAUUGUUUCUAUUUAUCAUAUGCUGUAGGAUUAGAUUUUAAGCAAUUAAGCUUUUAAGCUACUUUUACACAAAAUGUUACUCAAUCUGGUUAACUUGUUAUUUAAAAGUAUUUUGUAUAUCUUUGUUUUAUAAUUUAACCACCCACAUGGAUUAUUCUAUUAAAGAAUAUCUUUAGGAAGUGGUAGAAAUUCUGAAUCACCCCAGAGUUUGCUUAUUUCCACAUUUCAUUAUUUUAUAAUCUUUGGGAAUGCUUAUAUUAUAGCAUUUCAGGGGUAUAAGUUCUUAUAGUACCACUAAAACUUUUUUCUUUUUUGUAUUUAAUGCAUAUGAUAGUAAAUUACAGGAGAUUUUUUUGUUUCCCUGUCAUCAAUUAAAAAUGCCAUUUUAGCAUGAAACAAACAGUGAAGAAGGGUAUUUGUUGUCCUGUAGUAUAAGUUAAGAAAGUUUAAGUACAUCAUUCCUUAAGAGAAUUUUUAAAUUGUAAAAUAAUUAAUGCAGAUUUUUAUAUUAUUUAGUUUAUACUUUCAUGAAUAUCUUGUGGCAGUGUGAAAAUGCUAAUGUUUGACAGGGAGCAUUAAAAUUAGAUUUGAAACAUUA